UUGGGCGUAAGAGCUCGUAGGCGGUUCGGCAAGUCGGAUGUGAAAUCUCCACGCUUAACGUGGAGGGGCCAUUCGAAACUGCCGUGACUCGAGUCCGGUAGGGGAGUUCGGAAUUCCCGGUGUAGCGGUGAAAUGCGCAGAUAUCGGGAGGAACACCAGUGGCGAAGGCGGAACUCUGGGCCGGAACUGACGCUGAGGAGCGAAAGCGUGGGGAGCGAACAGGAUUAGAUACCCUGGUAGUCCACGCCGUAAACGUUGGGCACUAGGUGUGGGGUUCUAUCGACGGAUUCCGUGCCGUAGCUAACGCAUUAAGUGCCCCGCCUGGGGAGUACGGCCGCAAGGCUAAAACUCAAAGGAAUUGACGGGGGCCCGC
This 373-nucleotide ribosomal RNA is filed under the name uncultured bacterium. RNAcentral describes it as "bacterial SSU rRNA". It matches the Rfam family "Bacterial small subunit ribosomal RNA", at positions 554 to 924 of the family's 1533-position model. The record is from RNAcentral.